AGAGGAUACAAGGUUUUUGAGAAGGGAUCAGAAAAAGAACUUCUGGCGAUCAAUGUUGAAAGGUCGAUGUAUUGUACUAGUGAAUCGAGAUUUUAAUGAAGUGGGUGUGAUUACUCUUGACUAUUUUGUGAAAUCAAAGUUACGUCUAUGAUUGAAGAAUUAAAAGGGUGUCUAUAGGAUUGAAUAUGUGGACUAAAUGAAAUUUUUUGGGUUAAUCUAAUAAGACAGUCAGUGGAUACAAGGUCGUGAGUAUAAAGUGGUAUUGGAGAUUAGCAGAUUGGGUUGUUCGGGGUUCUCUGUAAUGUCUAGAGACCUAUCGGCUGGGGCAAAAAGGAUUUU
RNAcentral lists this long non-coding RNA (339 nucleotides) under Physcomitrium patens. RNAcentral's name for it is "long non-coding RNA (PPAT_LNC006948)". Lineage: Eukaryota; Viridiplantae; Streptophyta; Bryopsida; Funariales; Funariaceae. The record is from RNAcentral.